UACGUAGGGGGCAAGCGCUGUCCGGAUUUACUGGGCGUAAAGGGUGUGCAGGCGGGCUGGCGUGUCGAUGGUGAAAGCUCCCGGCUUAACCGGGAAAGUGCUGUCGAAACUACCAGUCUUGAGGGCGGAAGAGGAAACUGGAACUUCUGGUGUAGCGGUAAAAUGCGUAGAUAUCAGAAGGAACGCCGAUAGCGAAGGCAGGUUUCUGGGACGUUCCUGACGCUGAAACACGAAAGCUAGGGGAGCAAACAGG
RNAcentral lists this ribosomal RNA (253 nucleotides) under uncultured bacterium. RNAcentral describes it as "partial 16S ribosomal RNA". It matches the Rfam family "Bacterial small subunit ribosomal RNA", at positions 524 to 776 of the family's 1533-position model. The record is from RNAcentral.